ACCUAAUAGAUACCCGGGUAGUCCACGCCCUAAACUAUGUCAACUAGUUGUUGGGAGAGUUAAAUCUCUUAGUAAACGCAGCUAAACGCGUGAAGUUGACCGCCUGGGGAGUACGGCCGCAAGGUUAAAACUCAAAGGAAUUGACGGGGACCCGCACAAGCGGUGGAUUAUGUGGAUUAAUUCGAUGCAACGCGAAAAACCUUACCUACCCUUGACAUGUACGGAACGGGGCAGAGACGUCCCGGUGCCCGAAAGGGAACCGUAACACAGGUGCUGCAUGGCUGUCGUCAGCUCGUGUCGUGAGAUGUUGGGUUAAGUCCCGCAACGAGCGCAACCCUUACCAUUAGUUGCUACAUUCAGUUGGGCACUCUAAUGGGACUGCCGGUGACAAACCGGAGGAGGGUGGGGAUGACGUCAAGUCCUCAUGGCCCUUAUGGGUAGGGCUUCACACGUAAUACAAUGGCCGGUACAGAGGGUUGCCAACCCGGCGAGGGGGUAGCCAAUCCCAGAAAGCCGGUCGUAGUCCGGAUUGUUCUCUGCAACUCGAGAGCAUGAAGUCGGAAUCGCUAGUAA
Molecule: ribosomal RNA, 573 nt
Filed under: uncultured bacterium
Lineage: Bacteria
Description: bacterial SSU rRNA
Rfam family: Bacterial small subunit ribosomal RNA
Source: RNAcentral